Molecule: long non-coding RNA, 4432 nt
Organism: Zeugodacus cucurbitae (melon fly)
Lineage: Eukaryota; Metazoa; Arthropoda; Insecta; Diptera; Tephritidae
Exons: 3
Source: RefSeq, a predicted model, not a curated record
AUGCUGUCAUUUAACCAUGUAAUAUACCAGAAGCUAUGCCUACAUCAUACUACUGACACUUUAGUCCUUUCUACACCCCACCCUUUGGUAUGAUUUUGAGUGCAAGGCGAGAGCGAGCCCACCAAAAGUCCUCCACACGAAAACCUUCAUUAAAGCCGCAAAAGCGUCAAACAAUUUUUUGCCAUUAUAGUUUGUAAGAGCAAAUUUCAGCACACAUACAUUGAAUGAAUGUGUACGGUCCGUGUGAAGAACAUCAAGAAUUAAAAUGAAAAUAUAUCACAAAAAAGUUGGUAAAACAAAACAUUGACAUCCCAAACAUUAAACGCCACUAACAUGAGGAAUGACAAGCGCUAUGGCAGUCGGCCCACUUAAACACACUUGUAAUUUAUUUGUGUAUGCACAUAUUUAAGUAGUCAAAGCCAGGCAAGCGAAUGCAAGUGUGUGUUUGUCGGUGUGCCAUGAAAAGUGGCGCGUUUAAAGCCGCUCGCUCACUGGUCUGUUAUCCUGUCGGCCUUUCGUUUGUCAGGCCGUCGCUUGUCGCCUGUCGCGCCUGCCACUACUUCUCACAUUUUACACAACCGAAAAAAUCACAAAAAGCUGAAUGACAUAUAUAAACAUUCAUGUAUAUACGUAUGUAUGUACGUAUGUGUGUGACUGUAAAUAUUGUAAAGUGUCAAACAGGAUGCACAGUGGCUCGCCUGUGCUGCCAGCCGCCACGAGUAGUGUGUGCGAACGAUGCUGGCCAAAACCCGCAAACACUGAGUAUACGUAUAUGUAGCAGUACUGUAGUCAUUGAACUGUCGCUCUGGCGAUGUGGAAGAGGGGAGGUUUUAAAAAUGGGAGCACUUUAUUAUUAUUAAAGUGCCGCCUAAUUAAUUUUGCUAUAAUAAAAAAUGAUUUAUAGCUGGAAGCAUUUAUAUUUCAAAAAUCCUGGGACCUGGGAUAUAACCUUUAACCUCUUACAAAUCCAAUCGUAAAAUUACAAAUCUAAUCUUAAUUGUGAUGUUCAAGAAUAUUAUACCUCCGAAAUCUGAAAUCCGAAAUGAAAACUUCAGGAAUCCUGUUUAACAGAAAACCUCCUGAAAGCUUUAUGUCACGAAACGCAAGUUAUAACAUCAAGCUUCAAAGUAUACUCCUCGAAGUAAUUAUUUCUACUUCCUGAUAUCUGAUGAAACUCUUAAUCUUCAGCUUACUCUAUGAAGAAUCCUUAAUGAAGAACUGGAUAUGGAAAACAAUAAAAUGUUUAGUUAUGUCUGCUGGCCAUAAUCCGACAAAGUGAUAAUGGCCUCGACAAGUCUAGGUCUCUAAGCUAAAAUAGUCUUUGCGAAGCUCCAGAGAUGGAAAAAGUAGAUGGAUCAUGAGACGCCCAGAACACUUAACAAAGCUAUUUUGUCGACAGGGGGAUGAUUGAGUCGGAGCAGAUAUUUCCUUCAGACUUUUUAAAUGGCGGUCUACCUAAUGGUUUAGUGAAUACCAAGUAAGUGGGCGCAAAUGAGGACGUGUAUAUCAACUUCAUACCAAUCCAAAAUAUACCGAAUACCAAAAAAGAGAUAGUUAGAUGGUUUUUUCUUUAACUUUUAGCGAAACACUUGGCGGUUUUUUUAGGAUUAAACUUUUUGUAAUAGAAAUUAUACCAUGUUCUUGAGAUCAGAGUAAUAUAAAGAGCGAGCGUAGCUGUUCCACAUAAAAUAGAUCGUACUAAGACCGACCGCUUGAGCUACAGAACGGAAUACACUCGAAGUUAAAGGACUAUUCAACAGUUACUAUUUAUUAGUGUGAGACCGAUUUCUAAUUUUUUGCAUCGCGAUGCCAAAACAGGUGAUCGAAUUCUAAUAACAAGUAGAUAGCAGAUACCGUAGACCACAGAUUAACCACAUAACUCAGUAGAUUAUUGUUUUUAAAAUCGAUAGAAGACGCCAGAAGAGUAAACAGCAUGCAUUUCAAUUCUUAAAAGUAAAGAGGAAAGUUAUAGAUAUUAUAUUUAGUCUGUCCUCAUUACGACGAGAUGUAAAAUAAACUAUCAUCCGACUUUUAUUUUAUAUCUAGCCUCAGUAAAGACCAUUUUGUAAGUCAUUUAAUAUUAAUAUCAGCCAUAAAACAGCACAAGUAUAUACAAUGCAUUUAUACCCAAUUUGUCAUGUCCAGCAUGCCUCUAGGCAUAAACUCACACCAAAAGAUAAAAUAUAUAUAAGUUUACGUGGUCAUUUGUUUGCAGGGCCAUAAAAAAAACGACACUAAAAAAUUAAAAAUAUGAAAGAAGAGGAAAAAUAAAUAUUUAAAAUUACAACAAAAGCAAUCCUAUGGAUAGUGCAACCACAGCAAUGAACACAAUAUAACAUAUAAAGAGAAAGAAGUAUGCCGCACCAGCGUUUUACCCCGAGCAAAGUAGAACUGAGCCACCAUUCCGUUCCGUUGUUGGUCCAACAACAUACAACAUUCAACAUCGCGCAUCGAGCAAUAACCCGCUAUUGUACUUCAGAGCUCGCAUACUAAAGAGUCGCUGAUGCAGACAGCCUGUCGGCAUAUUAUGCUGUCAAUCUUAUUUUCAUUAUUUUUAUGGCCGUGUUGUGGCACAAAAAACCAGAAAUGAACACAAAAACAAAAAAAAGACAAGAACAACUAUAAACCCGCCAAAGUAUGGAUCAGUGAGUUUUCAGUGUUGUUGUUUCAAAAUGUCGCUGAAAUAUUUCAGCUGAGCGAUGGUUUCGGGAAAUUGGUGAAUAUGUGCAUAAAUCUGUAGGAAACUUGUGUCUAUGUAUAUGUGCAUGAAUUUUUUAACGGCGAAUGAAAUAAGUGCCGCGAAUGGUGAAUCAUAACAACAAAAGCAGAUGUAAUAGUAAGCAAAUACAAAGAAUUAAAUACAUUUGUAUAAAAUCAUUGGCCAAACAAGUCCGACUCAGUCUGGUGAGGUUGAUGAGGUUAAAAUAACAGACAGACAGAAACUACACCAAAACCAAGUUGGACCAAUCAUUCUAAAGGGGAAGGGAGAGCCACCCCAAAUGAAUUUGAACAAUUCGUCGGGUAAUAAGAAUAUGAGCGACCAAUUUUUGAGCCUGCAGCAAAACCGCCUUUAUUAAUCCUCAAUAACACCUCGACGAAAAGAAAAAUUAAACGACGUGAACCGUUAUUUGCAUCUACCAACUUUUUGUAGUUCUCUAGCUCCAAACUGUAUGAUAGGUCGUUGCUUCACUGGCAAAGAACCGUUUGUUAGCAGUAGAAUAAAUAGAUGUAGAAAGAACAGGGGGGUUGGAAAAAGUGAGACGGUGAAAGCUCGUUUGUUCUUUUCUAACACAUCGACUACGACAGAUUCCUCUAGGCCGUACAGCUAUCUUAAAGUAAUAUUUCGGUGACGCUUUAAGACUGAUAUUAGGCAGUUAGGACUGAGGAUCUUUAACUUCGAAGAUUAACACACGGUGUAAGGCCUUUCGGACACAUGUCAUGCCCUCAAUCUCUCUGUACUCUAUUGUCAACGGAUUCCAUCUUCAAGAUGUCAGGAAAUCUAAUACAGAACUGAUCUUCAGGAUACCUCAGAAGGCCUUUCAUCCCAUGACUUCGUUGAUGAAACCCUUGGACGAUAAUAAAUCAAUCUUACUCAGUAGUGCAAUCACGGAAGUGAACUUCAGUAACAGUACACGAUGCACUGCUAGUCAAUGAUGGUGUUGCAUGCAACAGCAAGUUACAACGCCUCUGAUGACAAAAGAGAAAUUGCAUGAGGACAUAUUAAAAAAUAAAUUCACAGUCAACACACACAUGCGCAAUUGCAUAUGAAUGGAGGCAAACGAGUCGGCGACAGACCACCGAAAAAAAAGGUGGCGACAAUAUGUGGCACAUUCUCAUGUGUAGGAAUUUAAUAUCUGUGUUUGUAUGUAUGUGUAUAUGAAGAUAACUCGACAAUGGAAUGCAUACAAAGACGAACACAUAUUCAUGCACUGCCGCGUUUUUUCAAUGGUGGACAUAUGAGAGAACCGCAUGGCAUACAAAAGUCAACUUUUUCUAUGUUUCUGUGUUUUAAUCUGUGUGUUUGUAUGCGGUUAACGAAGUAGCAGCACUUAAAUAAAUUAAAAGAAUUACAUUUUUUUCUCAAAUAUUUUAAGCACUCAAAUGUGGAGAGUAAGGUUUCCUAAAAAUGCAUAAAAGCAUGCAAGCUACUAAUUAUUAGACAUCAGGGAAGAAAGGUAUAGAAUUUCAAGCAAACCACAGAAAAAACUUUGAAAUAACCGUAAAAAGCAAAGCAAAAAUCUUUUGUCAAAUAAUCUGUAGUGCGAGAAGAGCUCAGCUCAGAUAAUUACAAAAGAGAAUUUGCUGUCAUCCAAACUAAGUACAUCACUUAUGUAUGUUCGUCAGUAAAAAUACUUAAAGCAAACAUUUGAGAAUAACAAUGGAAAGAGUGUAACGUAUGUAGUUAUGUACAUACAUAUUCCUUAAAGCUUAU